UGAAUCAUCGAAUCUUUGAACGCAUAUUGCGCUCUCUGGUAUUCCGGAGAGCAUGCUUGUUUGAGUAUCAGUAAACACCUCAACUCCCUCUUUUCUUUUUUGAAAUGAGGGAGCUGGACUUGAGUGAUCCCAACACUUUUCUUCACUGAAAAGUGGCGGGUCACUUGAAAUGCAGGUGCAGCUGGACUUUUCUCUGAGCUAUAAGCAUAUCUAUUUAGUCUGCCUAAAAAACAGAUUAUUACCUUUGCUGCAGCUAACAUAAAGGAGAUGAGUUCUUGUGCUGACUGAUGCAGGAUUCA
RNAcentral lists this unclassified non-coding RNA (299 nucleotides) under uncultured Mortierella. Its description in RNAcentral is "sequence contains 5.8S rRNA gene, ITS2". The stretch from base 1 to 70 matches the Rfam family "5.8S ribosomal RNA", at positions 85 to 154 of the family's 154-position model. The record is from RNAcentral. Lineage: Eukaryota; Fungi; Mortierellomycota; Mortierellomycetes; Mortierellales; Mortierellaceae.